AGUAGGGGUGUAAUGUACCUACUAGCCGACGACGGGUACGGGCUGUGAGAGCAAGAGCCCGGAGAUGGAUUCUGAGACAUGAAUCCAGGCCCUACGGGGCGCAGCAGGCGCGAAAACUUUACAAUGCGGGAAACCGCGAUAAGGGGACACCGAGUGCCAGCAUAUUAUGUUGGCUGUCCAUAUGUAUAAAUAACAUGUGUUAGCAAGGGCCGGGCAAGACCGGUGCCAGCCGCCGCGGUAACACCGGCGGCCCGAGUGGUAGCCGCUAUUAUUGGGUCUAAAGGGUCCGUAGCCGGUUUGAUCAGUCUUCCGGGAAAUCUGACAGCUUAACUGUUAGGCUUCCGGGGGAUACUGUCAGACUUGGAACCGGGAGAGGUAAGAGGUACUACAGGGGUAGGAGUGAAAUCUUGUAAUCCUUGUGGGACCACCAGUGGCGAAGGCGUCUUACCAGAACGGGUUCGACGGUGAGGGACGAAAGCUGGGGGCACGAACCGGAUUAGAUACCCGGGUAGUCCCAGCCGUAAACGAUGCUCGCUAGGUGUCUGGGAUGGUGCGACCGUUUCAGGUGCCGCAGGGAAGCCGUGAAGCGAGCCACCUGGGAAGUACG
Molecule: ribosomal RNA, 607 nt
Filed under: uncultured archaeon
Lineage: Archaea
Description: bacterial SSU rRNA
Rfam family: Archaeal small subunit ribosomal RNA
Source: RNAcentral